This 926-nucleotide long non-coding RNA is filed under the name Cricetulus griseus (Chinese hamster). RNAcentral describes it as "lncRNA (ENSCGRG00015043186.1)". Lineage: Eukaryota; Metazoa; Chordata; Mammalia; Rodentia; Cricetidae. The record is from RNAcentral.
GUGACUCGAGGAUGGUGCGGAGAAACAAGAAAGACAUUUAGAGACGGGAAAGUCAUGGAAACAAAAGCAACACAGAGUGUCUGGGAGAGGCUGGGAAACAGACGCAAGACUUAGAAGAGGGGUGGGGGAGAGAAGAAAGAAAACGGAAAUACGGUCCUAUGGAUUCCGAAAAGACUAUAAAGUACCCACUCAUUCAUUUGAUAAGUAUAUGUUAAACACCUACCUAUGGAAUGCCAGACCCUGUUUUAGGCAGUUGGAAUGGAGCCACAACAAGAAAAGACCCCACUGCUAAAAUGCUUGCCUUUUAGUGAGGGCAACACAAAUAAGACCAAGAUGCUAAAAACAGACUGAGAUAAAUCAGAGCGCUACACUCACUGGAGGUCAUCGAGUCUAAGAAUGCGCUGUUGGAGGUCAGGAGACUGCAGAAGCAAAAGGGAACAGUGUGUCUCACUGCAUCUUUACACAAACGGCAGUGUGGCAGAGGAAGACACAGAACCUUCACCCAGUAGCUGAUGGAAGCAGAAGCAGACACCCACAGCUAAACACUGAGCCAAACUCCUGGAAUCCAGUUGUAGAGGUGGAGGAGUGAUGAGCAAAGGGGUCAAGACCACGCUGGAGAACCCCACAGAAACUGCUGACCUGAACAAGGGGGAGCUCAUGGACCCCAGACUGAUAGCUGGGAAACCAGCAUAGGAUUGAUCCAGACUCCCUGAACGUGGGUGUCAGUUAGGAGCAAUCUAUGGGGCCUCUGGUAAUGGAUCAUUAUUUAUCCCUAGUAUAUAAAUUGAGUUUGGAAGCCCAUUCCACAUAAGAGGGACUCUCUCAGCCUAGACAUACGGGGGAGAGCCUUGACACUGCUCCAAAUGAUAUGACAGACUUUGAAGAUCCCUCAUGAAGGCCUCGCUCUCUCUGGGGAAUAGAAAGGG